AUUGAACGCUGGCGGCAUGCCUUACACAUGCAAGUCGAACGGUAACAGGUCUUCGGAUGCUGACGAGUGGCGAACGGGUGAGUAAUACAUCGGAACGUGCCUAGUAGUGGGGGAUAACCACUCGAAAGAGUGGCUAAUACCGCAUGAGAUCUACGGAUGAAAGCAGGGGAUCGCAAGACCUUGUGCUACUAGAGCGGCCGAUGGCAGAUUAGGUAGUUGGUGGGAUAAAAGCUUACCAAGCCGACGAUCUGUAGCUGGUCUGAGAGGACGAUCAGCCACACUGGGACUGGGACACGGCCCAGACUCCUACGGGAGGCAGCAGUGGGGAAUUUUGGACAAUGGGCGAAAGCCUGAUCCAGCAAUGCCGCGUGCAGGAUGAAGGCCUUCGGGUUGUAAACUGCUUUUGUACGGAACGAAAAGCCCUGGGUUAAUACCCUGGGGUCAUGACGGUACCGUAAGAAUAAGCACCGGCUAACUACGUGCCAGCCGCCGCAGUAA
This 498-nucleotide ribosomal RNA is filed under the name uncultured bacterium. RNAcentral describes it as "partial 16S ribosomal RNA". It matches the Rfam family "Bacterial small subunit ribosomal RNA", at positions 30 to 523 of the family's 1533-position model. The record is from RNAcentral.